CCUACGGGUGGCAGCAGUAGGGAAUCUUCCGCAAUGGACGAAAGUCUGACGGAGCAACGCCGCGUGAGCGAUGAAGGCCUUCGGGUCGUAAAGCUCUGUUGUUAGGGAAGAACAAGUACCGGAGUAACUGCCGGUACCUUGACGGUACCUAACCAGAAAGCCACGGCUAACUACGUGCCAGCAGCCGCGGUAAUACGUAGGUGGCAAGCGUUGUCCGGAAUUAUUGGGCGUAAAGCGCGCGCAGGCGGUCCUUUAAGUCUGAUGUGAAAGCCCACGGCUCAACCGUGGAGGGUCAUUGGAAACUGGGGGACUUGAGUACAGAAGAGGAAAGCGGAAUUCCACGUGUAGCGGUGAAAUGCGUAGAGAUGUGGAGGAACACCAACGGCGAAAGCACUCUGCUGGGCCGACACUGACACUGAGAGACGAAAGCUAGGGGAGCAAAUGGGAUUAGAUACCCUUGUAGUC
Molecule: ribosomal RNA, 465 nt
Filed under: uncultured bacterium
Lineage: Bacteria
Description: bacterial SSU rRNA
Rfam family: Bacterial small subunit ribosomal RNA
Source: RNAcentral